UGUGCAGGCAAACUGGUGGAGACAUGAAC
Molecule: non-coding RNA, 29 nt
Filed under: Homo sapiens (human)
Lineage: Eukaryota; Metazoa; Chordata; Mammalia; Primates; Hominidae
Source: RNAcentral